CCCUGCGGCUGCCUUACCAUGCAGUCGAACGGCAGCACGGGUGCUUGCACCUGGUGGCGAGUGGCGAACGGGUGAGUAAUACAUCGGAACAUGUCCUGUAGUGGGGGAUAGCCCGGCGAAAGCCGGAUUAAUACCGCAUACGAUCUCUGGAUGAAAGCGGGGGACCUUCGGGCCUCGCGCUAUAGGGUUGGCCGAUGGCUGAUUAGCUAGUUGGUGGGGUAAAGGCCUACCAAGGCGACGAUCAGUAGCUGGUCUGAGAGGACGACCAGCCACACUGGGACUGAGACACGGCCCAGACUCCUACGGGAGGCAGCAGUGGGGAAUUUUGGACAAUGGGCGAAAGCCUGAUCCAGCAAUGCCGCGUGUGUGAAGAAGGCCUUCGGGUUGUAAAGCACUUUUGUCCGGAAAGAAAUCCUUGGCUCUAAUACAGUCGGGGGAUGACGGUACCGGAAGAAUAAGCACCGGCUAACUACGUGCCACG
RNAcentral lists this ribosomal RNA (481 nucleotides) under Burkholderia sp. YC85A. RNAcentral's name for it is "bacterial SSU rRNA". It matches the Rfam family "Bacterial small subunit ribosomal RNA", at positions 36 to 512 of the family's 1533-position model. The record is from RNAcentral. Lineage: Bacteria; Pseudomonadati; Pseudomonadota; Betaproteobacteria; Burkholderiales; Burkholderiaceae.